Molecule: non-coding RNA, 97 nt
Organism: Cucurbita pepo subsp. pepo (vegetable marrow)
Lineage: Eukaryota; Viridiplantae; Streptophyta; Magnoliopsida; Cucurbitales; Cucurbitaceae
Source: RefSeq, a predicted model, not a curated record
GAAAAUGGCUGUGAAAAAGGGCGUGGUUGCGCCAAUCGCUUGGUUGAAGGAGACCGGGAGGUAGCGAAGGGAGGUGUUGCCACAGACGACAGAGAAA